AGUCGAGAAGCUUUCGCAAUGGGNGAAAGCCUGACCCAGCGACGCCGCGUGAGNGAUUAAAGCCCUAUGGGUUGUAAAGCUCUGUCAGAUUGGGAAGAAAACUUCACGGUUAAUACCCGUGAAGCUUGACGGUACCAUCAGAGGAAGCACCGGCUAACUCCGUGCCAGCAGCCGCGGUAAUACGGAGGGUGCAAGCGUUGUUCGGAUUCACUGGGUAUAAAGGGUGCGCAGGCGGCCUAGUAAGUCAGGGGUGAAAUNUGACGGCUCAACCGUNAAACUGCCCCUGAAACUGCAAGGCUUGAGUCCGGGAGAGGAAGGUGGAAUUCCUGGUGUAGCGGUGAAAUGCGUAAAUAUCAGGAGGAACACCGNUGGCGAAGGCGGCCUUCUGGCCCGGUACUGACGCUCAUGCACGAAAGCUNGGGGAGCAAACAGGAUUAGAUACCCUGGUAGUCCUAGCCGUAAACGAUGGGCACUAGGUGUUGGAGGAGUCUACCCCUUCAGUGCCGCAGCUAACGCAUUAAGUGCCCCNCCUGGGGAGUACGAU
RNAcentral lists this ribosomal RNA (544 nucleotides) under uncultured bacterium. RNAcentral describes it as "bacterial SSU rRNA". It matches the Rfam family "Bacterial small subunit ribosomal RNA", at positions 353 to 886 of the family's 1533-position model. The record is from RNAcentral.